ACUUGGUUUAGCAUGAUUUUCAUGAUUAAAGAAGAGAUUAAGAGUUUUUAGCACUAACCUUUUUUUUAUAACUUGUUAAACUUCGCUUUCCUUGCUUCUUUUUGGUAUUUAUAGCUUCCUUAGGGUAUGGGGAGUAUUUUUUAUGAGGUGGGCUAUGGGUUUUGGGUGGAUUAAGCUUGCAAGCUUGAAUAUCAAUGAAGGAAAUGGGAGCAUGGGCAGCCGGCAAUGUAGAGGGAGAACGGAGCAGAGACGAUAAA
This 257-nucleotide unclassified non-coding RNA is filed under the name Hevea brasiliensis (rubber tree). Lineage: Eukaryota; Viridiplantae; Streptophyta; Magnoliopsida; Malpighiales; Euphorbiaceae. The record is from RNAcentral.